Molecule: ribosomal RNA, 254 nt
Filed under: uncultured bacterium
Lineage: Bacteria
Description: partial 16S ribosomal RNA
Rfam family: Bacterial small subunit ribosomal RNA
Source: RNAcentral
UACGUAGGGUGCGAGCGUUGUCCGGAAUUAUUGGGCGUAAAGAGCUCGUAGGCGGUGUGUCGCGUCGGCCGUGAAAACCUGCAGCUUAACUGUGGGCGUGCGGUCGAUACGGGCAUCACUGGAGUUCGGCAGGGGAGACUGGAAUUCCUGGUGUAGCGGUGAAAUACGCAGAUAUCAGGAGGAACACCGGUGGCGAAGGCGGGUCUCUGGGCCGAUACUGACGCUGAGGAGCGAAAGCGUGGGGAGCGAACAGG